RNAcentral lists this ribosomal RNA (92 nucleotides) under Dasypus novemcinctus (nine-banded armadillo). Lineage: Eukaryota; Metazoa; Chordata; Mammalia; Cingulata; Dasypodidae. The record is from RNAcentral.
AAUAUACCACCCUGACUGUGUCUGAUCUCAGAAGCUAAGCAGGGUCGAACCACAUUAGUACUUCAAUGGGCAAAAAUAUGUUUUUAAAAUUC